RNAcentral lists this ribosomal RNA (253 nucleotides) under uncultured bacterium. RNAcentral's name for it is "partial 16S ribosomal RNA". It matches the Rfam family "Bacterial small subunit ribosomal RNA", at positions 524 to 776 of the family's 1533-position model. The record is from RNAcentral.
UACGAAGGGGGCUAGCGUUGUUCGGAAUUACUGGGCGUAAAGGGCGCGUAGGCGGUCCCUCAAGUCAGGCGUGAAAGCCCCGGGCUCAACCUGGGAACCGCGCUUGAGACUGGCGGGCUAGAGUUCGGGAGAGGAUGGUGGAAUUCCCAGUGUAGAGGUGAAAUUCGUAGAUAUCUGGAGGAACACCGGUGGCGAAGGCGGCAUCCUGGACCGAGAUUGACGCUGAGGCGCGAAAGCUAGGGGAGCAAACGGG